This 497-nucleotide ribosomal RNA is filed under the name uncultured bacterium. Its description in RNAcentral is "partial 16S ribosomal RNA". It matches the Rfam family "Bacterial small subunit ribosomal RNA", at positions 28 to 507 of the family's 1533-position model. The record is from RNAcentral.
GAUGAACGCUGGCGGCGUGCCUAAUACAUGCCAGUCGAGCGAACAGACGAGGAGCUUGCUCCUCUGACGUUAGCGGCGGACGGGUGAGUAACACGUGGAUAACCUACCUAUAAGACUGGGAUAACUUCGGGAAACCGGAGCUAAUACCGGAUAAUAUAUUGAACCGCAUGGUUCAAUAGUGAAAGACGGUUUUGCUGUCACUUAUAGAUGGAUCCGCGCCGCAUUAGCUAGUUGGUAAGGUAACGGCUUACCAAGGUGACGAUGCGUAGCCGACCUGAGAGGGUGAUCGGCCACACUGGAACUGAGACACGGUCCAGACUCCUACGGGAGGCAGCAGUAGGGAAUCUUCCGCAAUGGGCGAAAGCCUGACGGAGCAACGCCGCGUGAGUGAUGAAGGUCUUCGGAUCGUAAAACUCUGUUAUUAGGGAAGAACAAAUGUGUAAGUAACUAUGCACGUCUUGACGGUACCUAAUCAGAAAGCCACGGCUAACUACGUG